This 499-nucleotide ribosomal RNA is filed under the name uncultured bacterium. RNAcentral's name for it is "bacterial SSU rRNA". It matches the Rfam family "Bacterial small subunit ribosomal RNA", at positions 28 to 509 of the family's 1533-position model. The record is from RNAcentral.
GAUGAACGCUAGCGGCAGGCUUAAUACAUGCAAGUUGAGGGGCAGCAUGAUAUACGCGAGUAUAUUGAUGGCGACCGGCGGACGGGUGAGUAAUAGGUAGGAGACCUACCUCAUACAGGGGGAUAGCAUAGAGAAAUCUGUGGUAAUACCCCAUGAGGUUAUAUGAAUAGAGGCAUAUAAUCAAAGCAUAAGCGAUUAUGCGGUAUGAGAGGGGCCUACUGACCAUUAGCUAGUUGGUGAGGUAAGGGCUCACCAAGGCGAAGAUGGUUAGGGGUUUUGAGAGAGAGACCCCCCACAUUGGAACUGAGAGACGGUCCAGACUCCUACGGGAGGCAGCAGUAGGGAAUAUUGGGCAAUGGGCGAAAGCCUGACCCAGCCAUGCCGCGUGAAGGAAGACAGCCUUAUGGGUUGUAAACUUCUUUACUACGCGAAUAGAGGUUAGUACGAGAUACUAAUAGGAAGGUAGUGUAAGUAAAAAGCAACCGGCUAACUCCGUACG